Molecule: ribosomal RNA, 490 nt
Filed under: uncultured bacterium
Lineage: Bacteria
Description: partial 16S ribosomal RNA
Rfam family: Bacterial small subunit ribosomal RNA
Source: RNAcentral
AUUGAACGCUGGCGGCAGGCCUAACACAUGCAAGUCGAACGGUAACAGGAAGAAGCUUGCUUCUUUGCUGACGAGUGGCGGACGGGUGAGUAAUGUCUGGGAAACUGCCUGAUGGAGGGGGAUAACUACUGGAAACGGUAGCUAAUACCGCAUAACGUCGCAAGACCAAAAAGGGGGACCUUCGGGCCUCUUGCCAUCGGAUGUGCCCAGAUGGGAUUAGCUAGUAGGUGGGGUAACGGCUCACCUAGGCGACGAUCCCUAGCUGGUCUGAGAGGAUGACCAGCCACACUGGAACUGAGACACGGUCCAGACUCCUACGGGAGGCAGCAGUGGGGAAUAUUGCACAAUGGGCGCAAGCCUGAUGCAGCCAUGCCGCGUGUAUGAAGAAGGCCUUCGGGUUGUAAAGUACUUUCAGCGGGGAGGGAGGGAGUAAAGUUAAUACCUUUGCUCAUUGACGUUACCCGCAGAAGAAGCACCGGCUAACUCCGUG